Molecule: ribosomal RNA, 751 nt
Filed under: Escherichia coli
Lineage: Bacteria; Pseudomonadati; Pseudomonadota; Gammaproteobacteria; Enterobacterales; Enterobacteriaceae
Also listed under: 1 other name
Description: bacterial SSU rRNA
Rfam family: Bacterial small subunit ribosomal RNA
Source: RNAcentral
GGAUUAGAUACCCUGGUAGUCCACGCCGUAAACGAUGUCGACUUGGAGGUUGUGCCCUUGAGGCGUGGCUUCCGGAGCUAACGCGUUAAGUCGACCGCCUGGGGAGUACGGCCGCAAGGUUAAAACUCAAAUGAAUUGACGGGGGCCCGCACAAGCGGUGGAGCAUGUGGUUUAAUUCGAUGCAACGCGAAGAACCUUACCUGGUCUUGACAUCCACGGAAGUUUUCAGAGAUGAGAAUGUGCCUUCGGGAACCGUGAGACAGGUGCUGCAUGGCUGUCGUCAGCUCGUGUUGUGAAAUGUUGGGUUAAGUCCCGCAACGAGCGCAACCCUUAUCCUUUGUUGCCAGCGGUCCGGCCGGGAACUCAAAGGAGACUGCCAGUGAUAAACUGGAGGAAGGUGGGGAUGACGUCAAGUCAUCAUGGCCCUUACGACCAGGGCUACACACGUGCUACAAUGGCGCAUACAAAGAGAAGCGACCUCGCGAGAGCAAGCGGACCUCAUAAAGUGCGUCGUAGUCCGGAUUGGAGUCUGCAACUCGACUCCAUGAAGUCGGAAUCGCUAGUAAUCGUGGAUCAGAAUGCCACGGUGAAUACGUUCCCGGGCCUUGUACACACCGCCCGUCACACCAUGGGAGUGGGUUGCAAAAGAAGUAGGUAGCUUAACCUUCGGGAGGGCGCUUACCACUUUGUGAUUCAUGACUGGGGUGAAGUCGUAACAAGGUAACCGUAGGGGAACCUGCGGUUGGAUCAC